Leptonychotes weddellii (Weddell seal) is the source of this 456-nucleotide non-coding RNA. Lineage: Eukaryota; Metazoa; Chordata; Mammalia; Carnivora; Phocidae. The record is from RefSeq and is a predicted model, not a curated record.
GCAUUUUUAGUCUUUUAUUCAACAUCGCCUCCCCCUUACCAGUAAAAUUAUGUGUCAGUGUGACCAGCUAAAAAUUAUUUUUCCUGCUUUCUUUGGAUAGUAAAGUCCUGUCCCUUUGCUUUUUCCCUGAACACAGGGGUUCCUUCUUCAGGCUGGGAUGUGAUAGCUUGUACUCUAGCAGCAAUCUUGUUACCACCAUGAAGCAACUGAUGGAAAAGUGAGACACAACACCAGGAGCCUGGGUCGCUGAUGACAGGAGGUAGGUCAGCUGUCUCUCCCGGUCCUGCAAGUAGUGGCCUUGUGCGGAAGAGGUCCUGUGGUGCCCUACAGCGCAAUCCCCCCAGUCACCAGAACCAGGCACUUUUCGAGCUGCUGCUUUGCUGUGUUCCUGGCGAGUUACUGAGCAUGCUGGUUCUUUAAAGGCUCCAUACCCAGCGUGGAGCCCAACAUGGGGCC